This 253-nucleotide ribosomal RNA is filed under the name uncultured bacterium. RNAcentral describes it as "partial 16S ribosomal RNA". It matches the Rfam family "Bacterial small subunit ribosomal RNA", at positions 524 to 776 of the family's 1533-position model. The record is from RNAcentral.
UACGAAGGAUCCAAGCGUUAUCCGGAUUUAUUGGGUUUAAAGGGCGCGUAGGCGGACUAUUAAGUCAGUGGUGAAAGCCUGCAGCUUAACUGCAGAAUUGCCAUUGAUACUGAUGGUCUUGAGUGCAUUUGAGGUGGGCGGAAUGUGUCAUGUAGUGAUGAAAUACUUAGAUAUGACACAGAACUCCGAUUGCGAAGGCAGCUCACUAAACUGUAACUGACGCUGAGGCACGAAAGCGUGGGGAUCAAACAGG